Molecule: ribosomal RNA, 459 nt
Filed under: uncultured bacterium
Lineage: Bacteria
Description: partial 16S ribosomal RNA
Rfam family: Bacterial small subunit ribosomal RNA
Source: RNAcentral
CCUACGGGGUGCUGCAGUGAGGAAUAUUGGUCAAUGGGCGGGAGCCUGAACCAGCCAAGCCGCGUGAGGGAAGAAGGUACAGCGUAUCGUAAACCUCUUUUGUCAGGGAACAAAGGCGGGGACUAGUCCCCGGAUGAGGGUCCCUGAAGAAAAAGCAUCGGCUAACUCCGUGCCAGCAGCCGCGGUAAUACGGAGGAUGCGAGCGUUAUCCGGAUGUAUUGGGUUAAAGGGGUGGGCAGGCGGCCUGUUAAGCUAGCGGUAAAACCCCGGGGCUCAACCCCGGCGAGCCGUUGAAACUGGGCGGCUGGAGUUGGAGAGAGGUACGCGGAAUGCGCGGUGUAGCGGUGAAAUGCUUAGAUAUCGCGCAGAACCCCGAUGGCGAAGGCAGCGUACCGGCUCCACACUGACGCUGAGGCACGAAAGCGUGGGUAUCGAACAGGAUUAGAUACCCCUGUAGUC